Long non-coding RNA from Planococcus citri (citrus mealybug), 2782 nucleotides. RefSeq lists it as uncharacterized. The record is from RefSeq and is a predicted model, not a curated record. The transcript has 2 exons. NCBI's taxonomy places the organism in Eukaryota, Metazoa, Arthropoda, Insecta, Hemiptera, Pseudococcidae.
AUUUCCUUCCUUCGCGUCGCGUUGCGUCGUCGGUUCAAUCGGCGGUGGCCGAGAUGCUUCCACACCUGUUGCGAAAAUAUUAAAAAAAAAUUAAUCUGUCGUAAGUUCAAGCUAUGCCUGCCUAUAAUGGUAUCUAUAUCUACUACGUAAGAAGAAGAAGAAGAAGAAGAAGAACUUGUCAUACGCAAAUGAAGAUCUUCGACUAUUAAAUUUUAAAUGGUUAAAUAAUAAUUAACCCGACGUAAGUCAAUAAAGGCACUCGUACGUAUAAUACAAAGGAGACAAUGUUGCAGAUUAAUAUAGGUAGGUAGUAGGUACUCGGGCCAUAUAAGUUUUAAGUACGCAAAUUUGCCUUAAUGAAUAAUAAUGCGAUCUUUAGGCAAAUAAGUAAGCGACGAUGACGUUGAAAAAUUUUGCUCUUUUUUUCCGCGAAAUGAUCGAUGAAGCCGAUGUGUGUAAAUACGAGUAACUUACUCUCGCAAGUCUCAGUUCAGAAGAACGAAUAUUUACUUAUAAGACGUGUCGAUUACAUCGCUAGCGUAGUUUGCAAUUUACCUAUACAAUAUACAUACACUCUGAGUAAAGUAAACCGAAUUUCAUAUUGCGCGCGUUUUGUUCGUUGUUGCUCUUUUAAUACAUAUUUUCACAAAGUGGUACUCUCUGUGCCUGUGUACCCCGACGUUUAAUUUUUAUCUCUAAUUCACCGUAAUUACAUUCUAUACAACAUUCGUAUCUGCUGCAGAAUUUAUUCUAACGCGUCUCAACUACCUCUAGCUAGAGUGUAUACGUAGCCUAGCUACUUCAUUCGCUUAGCGAGUUACACCCUUGUCAAAUCGAGUUAAGUAAAUUUUCAACUUUCUCUCAACAUAAAUGUUUUUAACAUGAAAAUUAUUCCAGCUCUUGGGCUAUAUUUUCUUUAGUUAAACCUAUCAACUUUGAUAUACUUAAUUUAAAACAGAAAAAACAAUAUAUUCGUUUUCAAAAUUAGUGCUGGAAUAAAAACCUACGUCAGCUUUGUUUUUAAUACGAAAUGAAGCGGUGAUAGUGAGUGGAAAUUUUUAAUAGAGUUUGACUUCUCGUAGAUGAGUUCGCUAAUUUAUGAAUGAAAACGAUAACAAUACGAUGUAAAAAAAAGUCUCGAAUUUAAUCAUUUCGGUACCAUGGUUCUCGUCUUGGUUUGUUGUUUUCUUGUUGCUACACCAAAAUAGGGACGCUUUUUUGUGUCCAGUGGAUACUGAAAGACAUUGAGAAAUUUUGGUAAUUCGUUCAACGAAUAAAUUUUUUAAAAAAGUGAUGCUUUUUUGAUGAUAAAAAUUUUCUUUUCAAAACCCGUUAAAUGAAAUACGUAAAAAGUGAAUUUGUUGGCACUGCUCUAAAUAGGCAUGCUCUUGCUCUAGGUAAUUUUAAUUUACGUAGUUUCAAAUUAUUCGCUUUUACGCGGGCUUAUUUUCGCGCAAGUUUGUUAUUUUUUGUUAUUUUGCUAAUAUAACGCACGUAUUUUACUAAUAAACGUGGUAAACGUUAACUUAAUCGUUUAAAAAUUAAACUGGUGACCGAGCAUAGAAAAAUAAAAUACCUCGAAAUUGUCGUGUUUUUAGCGCUGAAUAGAAAAUAUGUUUUUUUUUUACCGCUUGAUAGCGACUAGUUUUAAAAAAAUUACAAUCAACACUUCCUGAACUUAUUUGGAAAAAUUUAUGAUUUCGCUGGUCAAAUCACCAAUUUUUAUCACUUGAAAAUAAAUAAAUAAACUGAUGAAAUUUAAGGUCACGUCGCGUCGUUGCUAAACAGAAGCUACUAAGUAACAAAUUUAUCGACUUCAUGAUCUCGAGCUGAACUUUAUCACGAACUACCUACAUUACAAAUAAAAUUCCGAUAAGUGCACCCAACGUAUGACCUAACACAUUAGCAACGUGUAAAUUGCCUGCGAUUUAUCAAAACGAGACGUUAGAGACGUUUUGAAAAAUAAUCGUAUCAGCAUUUUUUCAUAACAGAAAUAGGAAAAAGUUACCUACGUCGUCGAUCGCAUCGUUGGUUCCUUAGCAGUUAGCGGCUUGUUCGUUGACCGGAGUACCCAACUUAUUAGAUAGGUAUUUUUUAUUUUAAUUUUGACCAAACGACAUUGCAUAACAUGAGUACCUUUUGUUAUCAACGUGUACUAAACGUUGCUUUCAUUUAUUUUUUGACGUAAGCCAUUUUAACAUCAGCUACCUUGACUGAUAAACAUAUUUUCCUGCUCAACAUUUCACAUGGUACGUAGAAAAUUUAUGACGUUAUUGGUAGAUUCGCAAAGUCUGCAUUUCAUGAAGCUCCUGCGGGUUGAUUUUAGAAAAACUAGGUAUGCACCAAACUUGGCUUAAUUAACUCGCAAGAUGUAUCGAUAAAAAACGUACCUAAUUAACUGUUUUUACCAUUACCUACUCGUAUUAUUACGUACGUACAAUUUGAUUCGUUUAUCGAACUCAAUUAUCAAAUUAACCUCGUUAAAUUAUUGGGGAUUUGUAUACCAAUUCGCGAAAAAAUGAUUUCCAUGUUUUGAGAAACAGCAAUAAUGAGUCAAUAAUAUAAAUUCGUUCGAAAUUUAGAGUUACAAGUACAUAUAUGUAUGUAAGUAUGUAGGUACCUAUUUUUGGAAGUUUAAAUCAUUUAAAACGAAUAAAGAGUCACCGAUACAUUGAUACUUAUUUUUGUAAACCAAAAAUUGUAAAAAACAGAAAUUGUUGGGAUUUCAAAAUGAACGUUAAAAUGGGUAAUUUAAUAAGAAUUAAAAAAAAAAAAAAUACAA